GAUGAACGCUGGCGGCGUGCCUAAUACAUGCAAGUCGAGCGAACGGACGAGAAGCUUGCUUCUCUGAUGUUAGCGGCGGACGGGUGAGUAACACGUGGAUAACCUACCUAUAAGACUGGGAUAACUUCGGGAAACCGGAGCUAAUACCGGAUAAUAUUUUGAACCACAUGGUUCAAAAGUGAAAGACGGUCUUGCUGUCACUUAUAGAUGGAUCCGCGCUGCAUUAGCUAGUUGGUAAGGUAACGGCUUACCAAGGCAACGAUGCAUAGCCGACCUGAGAGGGUGAUCGGCCGCACUGGAACUGAGACACGGUCCAGACUCCUACGGGAGGCAGCAGUAGGGAAUCUUCCGCAAUGGGCGAAAGCCUGACGGAGCAACGCCGCGUGAGUGAUGAAGGUCUUCGGAUCGUAAAACUCUGUUAUUAGGGAAGAACAUAUGUGUAAGUAACUGUGCACAUCUUGACGGUACCUAAUCAGAAAGCCACGGCUAACUACGUG
RNAcentral lists this ribosomal RNA (497 nucleotides) under uncultured bacterium. RNAcentral's name for it is "partial 16S ribosomal RNA". It matches the Rfam family "Bacterial small subunit ribosomal RNA", at positions 28 to 507 of the family's 1533-position model. The record is from RNAcentral.